AAGCCAGUUCCGAACUGUCACCGUUACGGUGUGCGUGCCUAGGACAUCUAGGAUAGGAGCUGGCUUCGAC
Molecule: non-coding RNA, 70 nt
Filed under: unclassified sequences
Description: DUF3800-IX RNA
Rfam family: DUF3800-IX RNA
About the family: Actinobacteria, Firmicutes (1 example), Nitrospirae, Proteobacteria, Verrucomicrobia (1 example). Nearby to DUF3800
Source: Rfam by way of RNAcentral